RNAcentral lists this unclassified non-coding RNA (461 nucleotides) under Hevea brasiliensis (rubber tree). Lineage: Eukaryota; Viridiplantae; Streptophyta; Magnoliopsida; Malpighiales; Euphorbiaceae. The record is from RNAcentral.
AAGUAGAAAGUACUAAAUCAUUUUCCACCAGAAAAAUUACGAAGAGAUCAGCGGUUGAAACGUUGGUCCUGGAUGGUAGGUGCCGCAUGUGGUUACCAACAAGACAUGGUUAAUAAGUUCCCGCGAACGAAUAUCGAUUCUGAAUUCCAAACCCAACAAACUCAUUUUCUUUUAUUUUCAGAUUUUCUUUUAAAAAUUUCAAUAAAUUAUGCUGAAUUUCUCACUAUAAAUAAGCUUUUAGAGCCCCACCAAAUACAAGUCUUUGUGCUUCUUGUUGUAGCUCUCAAACUACCUAACCCAUUAAUCAUCCCACUUUCCUUCUCUGCCAACGGUAAACAAAUGGCACGCAAGAAGAUCAGAGAGUACGACUCCAAGAGAUUGUUGAAGGAUCAUUUCAAGAGGCUUUCUGGCUAUGAAUUGCCCAUCAAAUCCGCACAAGUUACAGAAUCAACUGAUUUCAA